RNAcentral lists this ribosomal RNA (667 nucleotides) under uncultured bacterium. RNAcentral's name for it is "bacterial SSU rRNA". It matches the Rfam family "Bacterial small subunit ribosomal RNA", at positions 57 to 719 of the family's 1533-position model. The record is from RNAcentral.
GCAGUCGACGGCAGCACGGGAGCAAUCCUGGUGGCGAGUGGCGAACGGGUGAGUAAUAUAUCGGAACGUGCCCAGUCGUGGGGGAUAACGCAGCGAAAGCUGUGCUAAUACCGCAUACGAUCUCUGGAUGAAAGCGGGGGACCUGUAAGGGCCUCGCGCGAUUGGAGCGGCCGAUAUCAGAUUAGCUAGUUGGUGGGGUAAAAGCUCACCAAGGCGACGAUCUGUAGCUGGUCUGAGAGGACGACCAGCCACACUGGAACUGAGACACGGUCCAGACUCCUACGGGAGGCAGCAGUGGGGAAUUUUGGACAAUGGGCGCAAGCCUGAUCCAGCAAUGCCGCGUGCAGGAUGAAGGCCUUCGGGUUGUAAACUGCUUUUGUACGGAACGAAACGGUCCUUUUUAAUAAAGAGGGCUAAUGACGGUACCGUAAGAAUAAGCACCGGCUAACUACGUGCCAGCAGCCGCGGUAAUACGUAGGGUGCGAGCGUUAAUCGGAAUUACUGGGCGUAAAGCGUGCGCAGGCGGUGAUGUAAGACAGAUGUGAAAUCCCCGGGCUCAACCUGGGACCUGCAUUUGUGACUGCAUCGCUAGAGUACGGUAGAGGGGGAUGGAAUUCCGCGUGUAGCAGUGAAAUGCGUAGAUAUGCGGAGGAACACCGAUGGCGAA